CCACACCCUCAUUUGACUAUUCCUCCGUGUAUCUGUGCUUCUGUGAAACAGCUCGCCAUGGCGAUGCCCAUUGUUCUCAACUCCCUAACUUUCUUAUGUGUGCUUGCAGUUCUUGUUGCAGGUCAGGCUGAAGGGCGACAUCAAGACCCUGAUUGUCCUUCAUUCUCGUGCGGCCCUCUUAGAAAUGUAUCGUCCCCAUUUCUUCAGGCAAGUGAUCCACCUGGGUGUGGUUACGAUCUUAUGAGCUAAUUUGCAGUGAUGCAAAGGCUGCAAUUCGCAUCGACGAUGCAACAUACUAUGUAUCUUCCAUCAACUACAGUGAUUCUUCCUUCUGGGUCGUCGCUGCCGACAUGGGUUUAUACAACAGCUGCCCUCUACCUCGGUGGAAUCGGCCGCCCUUUAGAUACCAUGACGGCAUGGAAGUCGAAUUGGACCCCCGUUCAAGUUGGCAGGCUUGCUUUCUUAAAUGCUCUCGGGAAGUCAAGAAUAAUGCUAUGUACAUACCUGUUGCUUGCCUUAGCACCAAUGAUACCUAUGUUUAUGUGUUAACUGGUUAUGGAUCUAUUUUAAUGGAGUAUCUCGAGCCUUCUUGUGGGUACUUGGCUAUGAUUCCUUGGCCUUGGGACAGUCCGGGGCCUUGGUGCAACAAGCCGCUAGAAAAUGCAAGUUAUGCAGAUGUUGUGAAAUCCAUGAGGAUUGGAUUUGCUGUUCGAUUCCCUUUCAGAUAUUCCAGGAGGAGCACAAGCAUCAAAGAGUGCCUAAUACGCCAGUUUCGCGACUUGCCGGGAGUGUGUAGUGAUGGCGCCAUCAAUUGUAUUCUGGCAAUUCUUUUGGUCGAUGGAGUCUUCUGGGAGUGCUCACUGCGUGUAACUGCAUUUGCUUAUCCUGCCUUAUCAUUCAUACCAUUCGCCUUCUUCUGUGUGAAGUGGCUAGCUGUGCUAUGCAGGUUCGUGUUGGCACCGCUGGCUGUGUUGAUCUUCCUCGCCCACAAGUAUUGGAAAACGAGGAUCACAAUCGAUGCUGUCGAGAAGUUCCUCCGAAUGCAACAAAUGCUAGGUCCAAUGAGGUAUGCCUACACUGACAUCACAGCAAUCACAAGCCAUUUCAGAGAUAAGCUGGGUCAGGGAGGCUACGGGUCUGUGUUCAAGGGUGUGCUAUUGCCAGGCAAUGUUCAUGUUGCUGUCAAGAUGCUAGAGGGCAAUCCUAAUUGCAAUGGAGAAGAUUUCAUCAAUGAAGUCUCAACUAUCGGUAGGAUCCAUCACGUUAACGUGGUGCGCCUCAUGGGAUUCUGCUCAGAGGAAAUGAGGAGAGCACUGGUUUACGAGUACAUGCCUCAAGGUUCUCUGGACAAGUACAUCUUCUCAUCCGGGAAGAGUUUUUGCUGGGACAAGCUCGCCGAGAUAGCUUUGGGCAUUGCAAGGGGGAUCGACUACCUUCAUCAGGGUUGUGACAUGCAGAUUCUGCACUUUGACAUCAAGCCACAUAACAUCCUUCUCGACAACAAUUUUGUCCCCAAAGUUGCUGAUUUUGGUCUCGCGAAACUAUACCCAAGGGACAACAGCUUUGUGCCAUCGAGAGCCCUACGGGGAACAAUUGGGUACAUAGCUCCUGAGAUGAUAUCUCGUAGCUUCGGCGCCAUAUCGAGCAAGUCUGAUGUUUACAGCUUUGGGAUGCUGCUGCUAGAGAUGGCCGGAGGAAGAAGGAAUGCUGAUCCAAAUGCGGCAAACACGAGCCAAGCGUACUAUCCGUCGUGGGUGUAUGACCGGCUAACUCAACAAGAUCAUGUGGGUGAGAUAUUUGCUCAUGUUUAUACUGAGAUGCAUGAGUUGGAGAGGAAGCUGUGCAUUGUUGGACUAUGGUGCAUUCAAAUGAGGUGUCAAGAUCGACCGACGAUGAGUGAUGUCAUAGAGAUGCUGGAAGGUGGCAUCCAUAGCUUGCAAAUGCCUUCGAGGCCAUUCUUCUGUGAUGAAGGGCACAACCAUGCCGAGGAUACUUACCAUUUGUCGUCCGAGCUGACUGAAAUCUCCGAGGACAUGAGUGAAAAUAUUGAUGUGUGAUGCAAUGCACGGGAUGAUGCGCUUAGCUCAUAAAAAUAUUGAAAUAAUGGUUGAAUAGUUGUAUCGAGCAUGUACUUGUAGGUGGAAUCAUGUAAUAGCUAGCAGAGCAGCAGAACCUGUGUGCUGCUUUGUGUUUUCUUUUAUUGCCCAAACCUUUGUGCUGGGACUCCAGUUUUCCUUGGAUGUAUUUCAUGAUGAAGCUGGUUGGUGUCGCCUAAAAA
Hordeum vulgare subsp. vulgare (domesticated barley) is the source of this 2278-nucleotide RNA transcript. It is a transcript of the gene named rust resistance kinase Lr10-like, with no coding region annotated. Lineage: Eukaryota; Viridiplantae; Streptophyta; Magnoliopsida; Poales; Poaceae. The transcript has 3 exons. The record is from RefSeq and is a predicted model, not a curated record.